AACUUGCAGGGCUCGCGCUGCACUUUCCAUUCGCGCUCGAGCGCAGGCAGCACGUGAGGAAGUUCUGCUCUUCCCUCACACCUUCAUCCUGUCUGUGGAUGGAAUAAGAGCGUUUCAAACGACGGUGCCUCGCGCAUCUUUAGCAAACAUGUCGUAGAAGGAUUUCGAGGAUGUGAUUUCUAAUCGAGGAUGUUCGUUUAUUCACAUCCAGAUGACUGUUUUUUGUUUUUUGGUGCCAUGGGGAGUCCAAAGAGAAUAGGCAGCUGGAGCUCGGAGACGCCUGCAGGAGGAAGUGGAGGCAGCGCUGCCUCGUGAGGCUGAUGCAACAUGAGGAUUGGCCGACAAAUGAAGGAUGAUUAAGGAAUCAUGGGAAGGAUCUGAUCCGGAUACUGUCAUAUCACUUCAGUGAUGGUGAAAGUAACAUCAAUCAGAGCUCACAGAUCAUCUUACAAAGAUGGUUCAAUCACAAGGGGUAAAAUAUUUAAUAUAAAUAAAAAUUUUACAUAUAACAUGUAUAUGUGUGUGUGUGUGUGUCUGUAAAAAUAUUUGCACAUUUUUAAAUAAAAACUGAU
Molecule: long non-coding RNA, 572 nt
Organism: Megalobrama amblycephala (Wuchang bream)
Lineage: Eukaryota; Metazoa; Chordata; Actinopteri; Cypriniformes; Xenocyprididae
Exons: 3
Source: RefSeq, a predicted model, not a curated record